This 80-nucleotide non-coding RNA is filed under the name Deltaproteobacteria bacterium. RNAcentral describes it as "c-di-GMP sequence". It matches the Rfam family "c-di-GMP-I-GGC riboswitch aptamer". The record is from RNAcentral. Lineage: Bacteria; Pseudomonadati; Myxococcota; Myxococcia.
GCCGAUAAAGCCAAACCACGAGUAAUCGUGGGACGGAAAGCCACGGGUCCCAGGUUUAUGGGAUCGCCAGGUUGCCGAAA